UACAGAGGUCCCAAGCGUUGUUCUGAUUCACUGGGCGUAAAGGGCGCGUAGGCGGGAUGGCAAGUCGGUCGUGAAAUCCCUCGGCUCAACCGAGGAACGUCGAUCGAUACUGCUGUUCUUGAGGAUUGCAGAGGAGACUGGAAUUCCCGGUGUAGCGGUGAAAUGUGUAGAGAUCGGGAGGAACACCGGUGGCGAAGGCGGGUCUCUGGGCAAUUCCUGACGCUGAGGCGCGAAAGCGUGGGGAGCAAACGGG
This 253-nucleotide ribosomal RNA is filed under the name uncultured bacterium. Its description in RNAcentral is "partial 16S ribosomal RNA". It matches the Rfam family "Bacterial small subunit ribosomal RNA", at positions 524 to 776 of the family's 1533-position model. The record is from RNAcentral.